UACGAAGGGGGCUAGCGUUGCUCGGAAUCACUGGGCGUAAAGCGCACGUAGGCGGCUUUUUAAGUCGGGGGUGAAAUCCUGGGGCUCAACCUCAGAAUUGCCUCCGAUACUGGCAGUCUCGAGUGCGGGAGAGGUGAGUGGAAUUCCCAGUGUAGAGGUGAAAUUCGUAGAUAUUGGGAAGAACACCAGUGGCGAAGGCGGCUCACUGGCCCGUAACUGACGCUGAGGUGCGAAAGCGUGGGGAGCAAACAGG
RNAcentral lists this ribosomal RNA (253 nucleotides) under uncultured bacterium. RNAcentral's name for it is "partial 16S ribosomal RNA". It matches the Rfam family "Bacterial small subunit ribosomal RNA", at positions 524 to 776 of the family's 1533-position model. The record is from RNAcentral.